AUUGAACGCUGGCGGCAGGCCUAACACAUGCAAGUCGAGCGGGGCGGCGGACGGGUGAGUAAUGCCUAGGAAUGUGCCUGGUAGAGGGGGAUAACGUCCGGAAACGGGCGCUAAUACUGCAUACUAUCAGCAGAGCCUAGGUCGUAUUAGCUAGUUGGUGGGGUAAAGGCCUACCAAGGCGACGACCCGUAACUGGUCUGAGAGGAUGAUCAGUCACACUGGAACUGAGACACGGUCCAGACUCCUACGGGAGGCAGCAGUGGGGAAUAUUGGACAAUGGGCGAAAGCCUGAUCCAGCCAUGCCGCGUGUGUGAAGAAGGUCUUCGGAUUGUAAAGCACUUUAAGUUGGGAGGCGUUACCAACAGAAUAAGCACCGGCUAACUUCGUGCCAGCAGCCGCGGUAAUUC
This 407-nucleotide ribosomal RNA is filed under the name uncultured bacterium. RNAcentral describes it as "partial 16S ribosomal RNA". It matches the Rfam family "Bacterial small subunit ribosomal RNA", at positions 30 to 526 of the family's 1533-position model. The record is from RNAcentral.